Molecule: ribosomal RNA, 387 nt
Filed under: Syndiniales sp.
Lineage: Eukaryota; Dinophyceae; Syndiniales
Description: partial small subunit ribosomal RNA
Rfam family: Eukaryotic small subunit ribosomal RNA
Source: RNAcentral
AUUCCAGCUCCAAUAGCGUAUAUUAAAGUUGUUGCGGUUAAAAAGCUCGUAGUUGGAUUUCUGUUGAGGAAGUCCGGUCCGCACUUUGUGCGUGAUCUGGUUCUGCCUCGGCAUCCUCGCGGGGAACGCGCUGCGCUUGAUUGCGUGGUGCGGUAUUCGCGACUUUUACUUUGAGGAAAUUAGAGUGUUCACGGCAGGCUAUCGCCUUGAAUACGUUAGCAUGGAAUAAUAAUAUAGGACCUUGGUUCUAUUUUGUUGGUUUCUAGAACUAAGGUAAUGAUUAAUAGGGAUAAUUGGGGGCAUUUGUAUUAACACGUCAGAGGUGAAAUUCUUGGAUUUGUAAAAGACGGACUACUGCGAAAGCAUCUGCCAUGGAUGUUUUCAUUA